Molecule: non-coding RNA, 310 nt
Organism: Vicia faba (fava bean)
Lineage: Eukaryota; Viridiplantae; Streptophyta; Magnoliopsida; Fabales; Fabaceae
Source: the annotation of a GenBank genome assembly
AUGCCUCCAACCUAUCAUUUAAUAAAAUUGUCACCCACCAUCUCUCCUCCGACAGAGCUUCCAUCUCUCUCAUCGUUUCCUUCCUCCAAUUUUUCCAUCUUCAGACGCCUCCAUCCUUCCCUCCAUCAUUUCAAAUCUUGUUUGCAGAAAAUAUGCUUUCCCCUCUUUCUCCCCUUCAUUAUGGUGAUUUCCUCCCUCCCUUAUCAUACCAAGAAACUCAACAAUGUACUCUUACGUACAGCCAAAACGUCGUUGUUCAAGCUCAUAACAAAGCUUGAAAUUACACCAACGUCCUUCAACUCAACCUGGU